AGGUCAAGCUACAAAGGGCGCAUGGUGAAUGCCUUGGCAUCAGGAGCCGAUGAAGGACGUGAUAAGCUGCGAUAAGCUUCGGGUAGGCGCACAUAGCCUGAGAUCCGAAGAUCUCCGAAUGAGGAAACUCACAUGGGAAACCCCAUGUAUCAUUAAGUGAAUACAUAGCUUAAUGAAGGUAACCCAGGGAACUGAAACAUCUAAGUACCUGGAGGAAGAGAAAGAAAAAUCGAUUUUCUUAGUAGCGGCGAGCGAAAGGGAAAGAGCCCAAACCGGAAACUUGUUUCCGGGGUUGUGGACAUAGCAUCAAAGUGGAGGCUAUUGUAACUGAAGAGAACUGGAAAGUUCCACCGUAGAAGGUAAUAGUCCUGUAAGUGAAACGAGAAGACCACGAGUUAUGAUCCAGAGUACCACGAGACACGUGAAACCUUGUGGGAAGCAGGGAGGACCACCUCCCAAGGCUAAAUACUACCUGAUGACCGAUAGUGAAGCAGUACCGUGAGGGAAAGGUGAAAAGAACCCCGGGAGGGGAGUGAAAUAGAACCUGAAACCGUGUGCCUACAACCGCUCAGAGCCCCUUAUGAGGGUGAUGAGGUGCUUUUUGUAGAACGAGCCAACGAGUUACGGUAUGUAGCAAGGUUAAGUACUUAAGGUACGGAGCCGAAGGGAAACCGAGUCUGAAUAGGGCGACUAGUUGCAUGCCGUAGACCCGAAACCGGGUGACCUAUCCAUGGCCAGGUUGAAGCGAGGGUAAAACCUCGUGGAGGACCGAACCACGUUGCUGUUGAAAAAGCAUGGGAUGAGCUGUGGAUAGCGGAGAAAUUCCAAUCGAACCCGGAGAUAGCUGGUUCUCUCCGAAAUAGCUUUAGGGCUAGCGUCGAGUAUGAGUAGUGGAGGUAGAGCACUGAAUGGGCUAGGGGGCAUAGCGCUUACCGAACCUUAUCAAACUCCGAAUGCCACAUACUUUGAGCUCGGCAGUCAGACUACGAAUGAUAAGAUCCGUGGUCAAAAGGGAAACAGCCCAGAUCGUCAGCUAAGGUCCCAAAGUGUAAGUUAAGUGGGAAAGGAUGUGAGAUUUCUAAGACAACUAGGAUGUUGGCUUAGAAGCAGCCAUUCAUUAAAAGAGUGCGUAAUAGCUCACUAGUCGAGAGAUCUUGCGCCGAAAAUGUAACGGGGCUAAACUUACCACCGAAGCUACGGGCUUGAACAUAGUUCAAGCGGUAGGAGAGCGUCGUAACCGGGCUGAAGUCGUACCGUAAGGAGCGGUGGACUGGUUACGAGUGAGAAUGUUGGCAUCAGUAGCGAGAUGUGGGUGAGAAUCCCACAGGCCGAAAACCUAAGGUUUCCUCAGGAAGGUUCGUCCGCUGAGGGUUAGUCGGGACCUAAGCCGAGGCCGAAAGGCGUAGGUGAUGGACAACUGGUUGAUAUUCCAGUACCACUACCAUCGUUAUUAUCGAUGGCGUGACGCAGGAGGAUAGUGUGUGCUAGCUAUUGGAUGCUAGUCUAAGCGUUUAGGCAGUGAGAGUAGGCAAAUCCGCUCUCAUAAUGCUGAGGCGUGAUGGGGAAGGUUC
Molecule: ribosomal RNA, 1571 nt
Filed under: Clostridium perfringens
Lineage: Bacteria; Bacillati; Bacillota; Clostridia; Eubacteriales; Clostridiaceae
Description: partial 23S ribosomal RNA
Rfam family: Bacterial large subunit ribosomal RNA
Source: RNAcentral